CUUGAUGUGUAGGAUAGGUGGGAGGCUUUGAAGUGUGGACGCCAGUCUGCAUGGAGCCGACCUUGAAAUACCACCCUUUAAUGUUUGAUGUUCUAACGUGGACCCGUUACCCGGGUUGCGGACAGUGUCUGGUGGGUAGUUUGACUGGGGCGGUCUCCUCCUAAAGAGUAACGGAGGAGCACGAAGGUUGGCUAAUCCUGGUCGGACAUCAGGAGGUUAGUGCAAUGGCAUAAGCCAGCUUGACUGCGAGCGUGACGGCGCGAGCAGGUGCGAAAGCAGGUCAUAGUGAUCCGGUGGUUCUGAAUGGAAGGGCCAUCGCUCAACGGAUAAAAGGUACUCCGGGGAUAACAGGCUGAUACCGCCCAAGAGUUCAUAUCGACGGCGGUGUUUGGCACCUCGAUGUCGGCUCAUCACAUCCUGGGGCUGAAGUAGGUCCCAAGGGUAUGGCUGUUCGCCAUUUAAAGUGGUACGCGAGCUGGGUUUAGAACGUCGUGAGACAGUUCGGUCCCUAUCUGCCGUGGGCGCUGGAGAACUGAGGGGGGCUGCUCCUAGUACGAGAGGACCGGAGUGGACGCAUCACUGGUGUUCGGGUUGUCAUGCCAAUGGCACUGCCCGGUAGCUAAAUGCGGAAGAGAUAAGUGCUGAAAGCAUCUAAGCACGAAACUUGCCCCGA
This 673-nucleotide ribosomal RNA is filed under the name Salmonella enterica. RNAcentral describes it as "partial 23S ribosomal RNA". It matches the Rfam family "Bacterial large subunit ribosomal RNA", at positions 2130 to 2802 of the family's 2925-position model. The record is from RNAcentral. Lineage: Bacteria; Pseudomonadati; Pseudomonadota; Gammaproteobacteria; Enterobacterales; Enterobacteriaceae.